AUUCCGGUUGAUCCUGCCGGAGGCCAUUGCUAUUGGAGUCCGAUUUAGCCAUGCUAGUCGCACGGGUUCAGACCCGUGGCGAAUAGCUCCGUAACACGUGGCCAAACUACCCUAUGGAUCGGAAUAACCUCGGGAAACUGAGGCUAAUACCGAAUACCGCUCUCACGUUGGAAUUACAGAGAGCACGAAACGCUCCGGCGCCAUAGGAUGUGGCUGCGGCCGAUUAGGUAGACGGUGGGGUAACGGCCCACCGUGCCGAUAAUCGGUACGGGUUGUGAGAGCAAGAGCCCGGAGACGGUAUCUGAGACAAGAUACCGGGCCCUACGGGGCGCAGCAGGCGCGAAACCUUUACACUGCACGAACGUGCGAUAAGGGGACUCCAAGUGCGAGGGCAUAUAGUCCUCGCUUUUGCCUACCGUAAGGUGGUAGGUGAAUAAGAGCUGGGCAAGACCGGUGCCAGCCGCCGCGGUAAUACCGGCAGCUCGAGUGAUGGCCAAUAUUAUUGGGCCUAAAGCGUCCGUAGCUGGCCGAACAGGUCUGUCGGGAAAUCCGCUCGCUCAACGAGCGGACGUCCGGCGGAAACCAGUCGGCUUGGGACCGGAAGACCCGAGGGGUACGUCCGGGGUAGGAGUGAAAUCCUGUAAUCCUGGACGGACCACCGGUGGCGAAAGCGCCUCGGGAGGACGGAUCCGACAGUGAGGGACGAAAGCUUGGGUCACGAACCGGAUUAGAUACCCGGGUAGUCCAAGCUGUAAACGAUGCUCGCUAGGUGUGGCACUGGCUACGAGCCAGUGCUGUGCUGUAGGGAAGCCGAGAAGCGAGCCGCCUGGGAAGUACGUCCGCAAGGAUGAAACUUAAAGGAAUUGGCGGGGGAGCACUACAACCGGAGGAGCCUGCGGUUUAAUUGGACUCAACGCCGGACAUCUCACCAGCACCGACAGUGUGCGAUGAAGAUCAGUGUGAUGAGCUUAUUGGAGCCACUGAGAGGAGGUGCAUGGCCGCCGUCAGCUCGUACCGUGAGGCGUCCUGUUAAGUCAGGCAACGAGCGAGACCCGCAUCCUUAAUUGCCAGCAGUACC
RNAcentral lists this ribosomal RNA (1078 nucleotides) under uncultured Halalkalicoccus sp. RNAcentral describes it as "bacterial SSU rRNA". It matches the Rfam family "Archaeal small subunit ribosomal RNA", at positions 1 to 1077 of the family's 1478-position model. The record is from RNAcentral. Lineage: Archaea; Methanobacteriati; Methanobacteriota; Halobacteria; Halobacteriales; Halalkalicoccaceae.